This 112-nucleotide ribosomal RNA is filed under the name Lepisosteus oculatus (spotted gar). Lineage: Eukaryota; Metazoa; Chordata; Actinopteri; Semionotiformes; Lepisosteidae. The record is from RNAcentral.
ACCAGCAGCCAUACCACCCUCACAACUGGCAGCCCACUGAAGCUCAGCAGGUGUGAGCCUGGUCAGUACCUGGAUGGGAGACCUUCUGGGAAAGCUAAGGUUGAUGCUGGAA